This 301-nucleotide ribosomal RNA is filed under the name uncultured bacterium. Its description in RNAcentral is "partial 16S ribosomal RNA". It matches the Rfam family "Bacterial small subunit ribosomal RNA", at positions 509 to 809 of the family's 1533-position model. The record is from RNAcentral.
CAGUCGCCACGGUAAUACGAAGGGGGCUAGCGUUGUUCGGAAUCACUGGGCGUAAAGGGUGCGUAGGCGGAUUCUUAAGUCAGGGGUGAAAUCCCGAGGCUCAACCUCGGAACUGCCUUUGAUACUGGGGAUCUUGAGUCCGGAAGAGGUGAGUGGAACUGCGAGUGUAGAGGUGAAAUUCGUAGAUAUUCGCAAGAACACCGGUGGCGAAGGCGGCUCACUGGUCCGGAACUGACGCUGAGGCACGACAGCGUGGGGAGCAAACAGGAUUAGAUACCCCCGUAGUCCCUGUCUCUUAUAA